RNAcentral lists this ribosomal RNA (726 nucleotides) under uncultured bacterium. RNAcentral's name for it is "bacterial SSU rRNA". It matches the Rfam family "Bacterial small subunit ribosomal RNA", at positions 71 to 794 of the family's 1533-position model. The record is from RNAcentral.
GCACGGACUUCGGUCUGGUGGCGAGUGGCGAACGGGUGAGUAUAUAUCGGAACGUAUCCAAUAAUGGGGGAUAACUAAUCGAAAGGUUGGCUAAUACCGCAUACGUCCUACGGGAGAAAGCUAGGGACCUUCGGGCCUGGCGUUAAUGGAGCGGCCGAUAUCUGAUUAGCUAGUUGGUGAGGUAAGGGCUCACCAAGGCGACGAUCAGUAGCUGGUCUGAGAGGACGACCAGCCACACUGGAACUGAGACACGGUCCAGACUCCUACGGGAGGCAGCAGUGGGGAAUUUUGGACAAUGGGCGCAAGCCUGAUCCAGCCAUUCCGCGUGAGUGAAGAAGGCCUUCGGGUUGUAAAGCUCUUUCGCAAGGGAAGAAAACUUAGGCUCUAACAUAGCCUGAGGUUGACGGUACCUUGAUAAGAAGCACCGGCUAACUACGUGCCAGCAGCCGCGGUAAUACGUAGGGUGCGAGCGUUAAUCGGAAUUACUGGGCGUAAAGCGUGCGCAGGCUGUUUUGUAAGUCAGAUGUGAAAUCCCCGAGCUCAACUUGGGAACUGCGUUUGAAACUACAAGACUAGAAUAUGUCAGAGGGGGGUAGAAUUCCACGUGUAGCAGUGAAAUGCGUAGAGAUGUGGAGGAAUAUCAAUGGCGAAGGCAGCCCCCUGGGAUAAUAUUGACGCUCAUGCACGAAAGCGUGGGGAGCAAACAGGAUUAGAUACCCUGGUAGU